This 416-nucleotide long non-coding RNA is filed under the name Setaria viridis. RNAcentral describes it as "long non-coding RNA (SVIR_LNC006818)". Lineage: Eukaryota; Viridiplantae; Streptophyta; Magnoliopsida; Poales; Poaceae. The record is from RNAcentral.
UAAUGAAAUAAUUUUGUUGAUUUUUGUAAUAAUCUAAUGGACUCCAAAUUUCUACUAUAACUUAGGAGUGGUAGUUAGAAAUCUCUGUAAAAGUUUCACACCCAUAGCUAAUCAUUUACCACUGAAAUGAAUUAUGGAAGUUAAAGAUAAGAAUAAAUAGUUAAGACAAAUUAAAUAAUGAUAAGGGUAAAAUGGUAACUUUUGGAAGAGGUACAAAAAAUAUUCAGAAACAAGAUAACUUUCCAAAUACAUGUUAAGCAACUCUAAAGUGACCCCACCCCUCUUUUGUGAAGUCAAAGUCGUUAAAAUCCUAUAUGUGUACACAAUCACCAUCAAGAUCGAGCUAAGUGCUUAAAUUUGAAAACACUGCAACUGUGACGAAAGUGUUGUAAGUGUCGAUCUAAGUGUAAUCAAUC